GUGCUUGCUAUGGCAGCACAUAUACUAAAAUUGGAACCAUACAGAGAAGAUUAGCAUGGCCCCUGCAAAAAGAAAAAAAAAAAAAACACCGGUUAUUACAGCUUGGU
RNAcentral lists this small nuclear RNA (107 nucleotides) under Pan troglodytes (chimpanzee). The record is from RNAcentral. Lineage: Eukaryota; Metazoa; Chordata; Mammalia; Primates; Hominidae.